Molecule: ribosomal RNA, 898 nt
Filed under: uncultured archaeon
Lineage: Archaea
Description: bacterial SSU rRNA
Rfam family: Archaeal small subunit ribosomal RNA (bases 1-777)
Source: RNAcentral
CCUUUAUGAGGGGCCCCGACUGCCANCGGANNGGACUAGGCCAAUAGAGGCGAUAUAGCAAUACAAGGCGGACGGCUCAGUAACACGUAGUCAACCUAACCUAUGGACGUGGAUAACCUCCGGAAACUGAGAAUAAACCGCGAUAGAUCAUUAUGCCGGGGGUGGGUUAUGGUUCAAACAAUUUAUUGCCGUAGGAUGGGACUGCGGCCUAUCACCUUGUUGGUGAGGUAAUGGCCCACCACGGCUAUAACAGGUACGGGCUCUGACAGGAGAAGCCCGGAGAUGGGUACUGAGACACGGACCCACGCCCUAUGGGGCGCAGCACGCGAGAAACCUUAUCUAUUUGCGAAAGACCGACCAGGUUAAUCCGAGUGAUUGCCGGUGAAGAAAUCUUUUGUCAGUGGUAAAACCACUGACGAAAUAAGGGGUGGGCAAGUCUGGUGUCAGCCGUCAGGGUAAUACCAGCACCUGGCGCGGUCAAAAGGUUUAUUGGGCGUUAAGCAUCCGUAAAAAAAAAUGCAAGUCUCCGGUUAAAUCUAGCUGCUCAACAGAUGGGUUGCCGGAGAUACUACAUAGCUAUGGAGCGGGAGAGGUGGACGGUAUUCUGUGGGUAGGGGUAAUAUCCACUGAUCCAUAGAGGACCACCAGUGGCGAAGGCGGUCUACCAGAACGCGUUCGACGGUGAGGGAUGCAAAGCUGUGGGAUUAAACUGCAUUAGAAUCCCCGGUAAUCCCCAUCCUCAAACGACCUCAACUCCGGCAGCCAUGGGUUUACGCCCAACGCCGUGCCCCCAGGAAACCUUUCUAUUUGCCCCCUUGGACUACUCACCCUCUUUCUAAAACCCAAAGGCAUCGUCCCGCUCAGCACCAUUGCGCAAUUCUUCCGGAAUUUCCACCAG